GGGAUUGUAGCUUAAUGGUAGAGUACUUACCUAGCAAGCAUGAGGCCCUUGGUUAAAUUCCUCAGUACCA
This 70-nucleotide transfer RNA is filed under the name Dipodomys ordii (Ord's kangaroo rat). It matches the Rfam family "tRNA". Rfam says of the family: Transfer RNA (tRNA) molecules are approximately 80 nucleotides in length. Their secondary structure includes four short double-helical elements and three loops (D, anti-codon, and T loops). The record is from Rfam by way of RNAcentral. Lineage: Eukaryota; Metazoa; Chordata; Mammalia; Rodentia; Heteromyidae.